RNAcentral lists this small RNA (807 nucleotides) under Saccoglossus kowalevskii. Its description in RNAcentral is "thyroid peroxidase-like protein". The record is from RNAcentral. Lineage: Eukaryota; Metazoa; Hemichordata; Enteropneusta; Harrimaniidae.
GUAAUCAGCCGUGACGUCACACAGUUGCAUUUCAACACGUGGUAUCAAGCUACAACCACACAUCGUGUACCUUCCAAAUCACCAGAUUAAUAUGUGCCAUCACGUGACUGUCAAUGCUUUACCUACAGCUUGAGGUUGCGUCACUUUAAAAAAAUAAAUCUUUUCUCUUUUUAUGCGACUGUCAACAGUGACUCGUUUUUUUAAAUUUCCAGCGUUUUCAAGAUGCUUUUUAAGUUGUUUUUAACGAAAUGAUGAUAUCGCAAUAUAUUUUUAACGAAUACAAUAAUUUUUAUACUAAUGCGUAUUUUCCCAUAAUUCACGACGUCAAAAUACAAAUUAAACGAUAUGCAUUAUUGGAACCAAUAAGGCAAAAACUAAUCUCCAGUCAUUCUUCUCUUAAGGCAACGUGAGAUUUUUCAAGAACAUUAAAUGUACAAGAAACAAUUGGUCUUAAACUCAAACGGCGGCUGUGAUCUCGUUUACAGCGAGAGAGCCACGAGACUUAUUCCCCCGCUAACUUCCGUCAUUGGUCCACGUUCUCAUUACCUAUACAGCGAUGGUAUUUGGAACAGUAGGCGCGAUGACGAGAAAAAUACAACACGUGACUCGCUCCCAACGAGAUCUCGACGAUUUUGUCAAUGGUUUUUAAAUAUUUGAAUGAUUUUUUAAAUAAGUUAAAGUAUAAUAAAUAAUACCAACAUGUAAUCCUAUACAUAGGUAAUUUUUAAAUAGUUUUGUACGUUUAUGUUUUAUACUUCAAUCUCGUGAUUUAUUUUAAAUCGGAAAUAAACGUUGUCUAUUUUGUUA